UACGCCCACAUCACGUUGAAACACCGGUUCCCGUACGAUCACCAAAGUUAAGCAACAUCGAGCCUGGUCAGCACCUAAAUGAGUAACCGCUUGGGAAUACCAGAUAC
RNAcentral lists this ribosomal RNA (107 nucleotides) under Acanthosepion pharaonis. The record is from RNAcentral. Lineage: Eukaryota; Metazoa; Mollusca; Cephalopoda; Sepiida; Sepiidae.